CCUACGGGUGGCAGCAGUGAGGAAUAUUGGUCAAUGGUCGGAAGGCUGAACCAGCCAUGCCGCGUGCAGGUCAGUGCCCUAUGGGCGUUAAACUUCUUUUGUGCGGGAGCAAUAAUGGUCACGUGUGGCCAGACGAGAGUACCGUACGAAUAAGCAUCGGCUAACUCCGGUCCAGCAGCCGCGGUAAUACGGGGGAUGCAAGCGUUAUCCGGAGUUAUUGGGUUUAAAGGGUGCGUAGGCUGGGAGGUAAGUCGGCGGUGAAAUGCCCCCGCUCAACGGGGUGAAGUGCCAUUGAUACUGCCUGGCUGGAAUGCGGAUGCGGUGGGAGGAAUGUGUGGUGUAGCGGUGAAAUGCAUAGAUAUCACACAGAACACCGAUUGCGAAGGCAUCUCACGAAGCCGCGAUUGACGCUGAUGCACGAAAGCGUGGGUAUCAAACAGGAUUAGAUACCCUGGUAGUC
Molecule: ribosomal RNA, 460 nt
Filed under: uncultured bacterium
Lineage: Bacteria
Description: partial 16S ribosomal RNA
Rfam family: Bacterial small subunit ribosomal RNA
Source: RNAcentral